This 675-nucleotide ribosomal RNA is filed under the name Triticum aestivum (bread wheat). RNAcentral describes it as "partial small subunit ribosomal RNA". The record is from RNAcentral. Lineage: Eukaryota; Viridiplantae; Streptophyta; Magnoliopsida; Poales; Poaceae.
AUGGCUUCAGCAGGUUCAGCCAGCCUCGCUCUCAAGGCGGCCGCCGUCGCCGCCGUUCUCACCAUGCUGCUCGUACCUUCAUCCGGCCGCUGUCCGUCGCUGGGGCCGGCACCACCCCCGCCGGCACAGGCGCCACCACCGCUCGCACCGACACCACCGCCGCCGGCACAGGCGCCACCACCGCUCGCACCGACACCACCAGCGCCACCGCCGGCUCCGGCGCCGUGGAACCCACCAUGCUCUCAGUCCCGGCGCCAGCAGUGCUACUCGGAUACGUAUCCGGCUUGCUAUUCGGCGUGCACAACCUCCAACCCAUGCACCGAAUGCGAAUUGCUUGGUGCUCUCUGCAGCAACUGCAGGAUCGCCGAGAAAGACAAGUGCACGGCCGACUGCGCCGGCGGCGGCUGUGACUGCGACGCCGCCGCCGCCGCCGCCAGCGCAUGCCGCACCGACUGCGGACUGAAUUAUGGUCGCUGCAACAGCUGCACGACGGCCGCGACCGACAAGUGCAACGCCAACUGCACCAGCGGCGGCAGCUGUGACUGCCACGGUGCCGCCAAGAGUGCAUGCCGCAACGAUUGUGCCGCCGAAACAUGCUACUCGUGCGCGCGCGCACAACUGAAGAAUUGCGACACCGUUUGCUCGGCCGAAUGCAACAAGUGUUUUGCGCCGUAG